GACGAACGCUGGCGGCGUGCCUAAUACAUGCAAGUAGAACGCACAGUUUAUACCGUAGCUUGCUACACCAUAAACUGUGAGUUGCGAACGGGUGAGUAACGCGUAGGUAACCUGCCUGGUAGCGGGGGAUAACUAUUGGAAACGAUAGCUAAUACCGCAUAAUAUUGAUUAUUGCAUGAUAAUUGAUUGAAAGAUGCUAUUGCAUCACUACCAGAUGGACCUGCGUUGUAUUAGCUAGUAGGUGAGGUAACGGCCCACCUAGGCGACGAUACAUAGCCGACCUGAGAGGGGGAUCGGCCACACUGGGACUGAGACACGGCCCAGACUCCUACGGGAGGCAGCAGUAGGGAAUCUUCGGCAAUGGACGAAAGUCUGACCGAGCAACGCCGCGUGAGUGAAGAAGGUUUUCGGAUCGUAAAGCUCUGUUGUAAGAGAAGAACGGGUGUGAGAGUGGAAAGUUCACACUGUGACGGUAUCUUACCAGAAAGGGACGGCUAACUACGUG
Molecule: ribosomal RNA, 505 nt
Filed under: uncultured bacterium
Lineage: Bacteria
Description: partial 16S ribosomal RNA
Rfam family: Bacterial small subunit ribosomal RNA
Source: RNAcentral